UUUAGGUGUAGAAGGAAUCUCCUGAAAUUUCUAUUAAGGUGGAUCAUUUACCUUGUGGAAUAGUUGAAGCGAGUUCUGAUAUGGAAUUGAAGCCUCUAUGAUUGACAAGUGGUGAGAAGUUAAAGCUGAGCGGGAAGCAGUGAAUGCCGCAGAAAGAGCAGAAAUGAAACUUCAACUGAGAGAUAAAAACAUGCAAGAUGAGAUGAUAGAUUUGAUGGAUGUGAGCAACGAAAUCCAAGAAUCUCUUAGAAGAAGCUACAGUGUACCCGAUGACAUUGACGAGGAUGAACUUUUGGGUGAGCUUGAUGCUUUGGAAGCGGACAUGGGAACGAAGACAGAAUAUGAGGGCGUGCUGGCGUAUCUUCAAACUGAUAACGAACCAGAUUUGGAUGUUGAACUCAAUUUGCCUUUGGCGCCAUCAGAGCAUGCAGCAGGGCCCAACAGACAGAAUGCCCAGUAAAUUCAUCAUCAGUAAUUU
RNA transcript from Magnolia sinica, 478 nucleotides. It is a transcript of the gene named vacuolar protein sorting-associated protein 60.2-like, with no coding region annotated. The transcript has 5 exons. The record is from RefSeq and is a predicted model, not a curated record. Lineage: Eukaryota; Viridiplantae; Streptophyta; Magnoliopsida; Magnoliales; Magnoliaceae.